Long non-coding RNA from Ricinus communis (castor bean), 4925 nucleotides. RefSeq lists it as uncharacterized. The record is from RefSeq and is a predicted model, not a curated record. The transcript has 6 exons. NCBI's taxonomy places the organism in Eukaryota, Viridiplantae, Streptophyta, Magnoliopsida, Malpighiales, Euphorbiaceae.
UAUAUCAGUAUAUUUUUCACCUCCGGCCAAAUAAACCCGGUGUAUCGGGGCUGCGUUUUGGUGAGGCUAUUUUUGUAUUCUACAGAGAGAAUUUGAAGCGGGUCGAAUAAAACCGGCAAGGAAGUGCGGGUGGGUGCAUGGAUGGACCUAGUUGUUGAACACAAUCCCCAAUAAAUUCCAAAAGAUAUUUUGAGAGGCAACAUUUACUAUCUUAAACCUCCUCGGAUAUUUUCCCUUCCCUUGCCACUUCCACUUCGACUGAGUCACCAGGGUACCGAUUGUUUCAUCUUGUGGCUCGCGGAUUUUUAUGUAUUGGUAGGAGUUCUGUGCUCCUAAUAUAAUGUACCAUGUAAACCUUUAAACCUACCUCAACUGACAUGUCUCUCCACAUUCCUUUUGUGUAUUACCCUGUGUCCUUCACCUCAUAGUAAGUUUGAGAAGCACAACAUGAUGGUGAUUAUGUUUAUACUUUUGAUCUGCAAAUACCAAUGUAAUUCAAUAUCAGAAUAAAAUAACCAAGAACCAGAAGAAAUAUGCGUAGGCUGUUACUCUAGUACAUUGCAAGUCAAAAAUUUGUCGUAGAAUGUAAUUAAUUUGUAGGUCUUGCAGAUUUAGCACUAGAUAGUUAAUUUGGUAAGUUAUGCUCAUUUGGAUUGAAAAUAAUAGUGCCAAUUAAUGUGAUUGUAGUGGUCUCUUUUUAGUUUGGAUUUUGGUAAGCAGGUGCAAAAUUCUUGAACUCGAUAGUUCUAUGUUCUCAUUUAUUAUUUAUAUUUGCUUCUAUUCCAUAUUUUGACGUUGGGUUAAGGAUGAGAGAUGAAUAGCACAUAGGCAAGCAUUGUUAUGUAGUUUAUUUGACUACCAUAGUGUUUAAUCUUUAUACACAUGUAUUUAUGGUAUCUGCUUAAUCUGGAUUGCUUAGAAAAAACUCUACAAGCAAUGGUUUGUACGUGGUAUGGUGUUUCAUAGAAUAAGAUCUUCUCCAUCGUUAGAAUUGUAAAAUUUUGCAUUAGUGCGUAUAAAUAUCUAUAAUACAUGCAUAGCUUGAACAGUAGUCCUGAAUGGAUGAGAGAAAAGAAAAUUAUGGUCAAUACUAAAUUAUUUGCACUUCUGAGGAGUUUGGAGAUAGGAGAGCUGUUGUUUUGUAUGAGUGGAAUCUGUAAAGAUUUUUGUGCGACUGUUAUGGAUUAGAUUGGUGUUCCAAAUGAUGAUUUAUUUAUUAUCAUGAGCACUGCAAGAGUUAAGAGGAAGACCUAAUGGUCUAUAGAUCAUGCUGUUGGAAAAAUAUAAGCUGGAUUCAACUAAUUAUCUGGCUUGUAGUUGAGCGAAAUUGUGAAAGUGAAUCUCUUAAUAGGUCUUACUUAUCUAGGAUUUGCAUACUCCUAUAAACAGAAAAAUUUAAAUAACAAAAAGAGAAAUUAGCUGGAUAUUAUGUCAGGAUAUUAAGUUGAUGUCUAGUGAGUCUACAAAGCACUUGAAGUUUGUCUCUUGACACCCUUCAAGCUUGUUGCAGACAUAUUCAUGUUUGAGUUAGUCCAAGGUUGUACUUUUUGGAAUAUUUCAGUACCUAGAUCAUAUAUAUAGUUACAGUUCAGAUUUCCUUGAGCAUAAUCAAGCUGUGGAGAUAGAGCUGCUUGAUAGAGAAUCUAGAUCGUCUAGCUCCAUAAAACUUAUCUUGUAAGCUACGGUGGCCUUGUUAGAUCUUUAUUAAGGAGCCCUUAAGCCUAUUAUUUUAUGCAUGGUGCUUCACAGAAGCUCUAUAGUUGAAAGAAAAUCCUAUCUCUUUUACGUAUAAAAUUGUGUGCCUUAUUGUAUGCGUUCAGUUGUUGAUGUCCUUUCUGUCAAAAAAGGACAAUUUUGUUAGCAUAAUUGCAGAGAUACUUGUCUUUUACAAUGAACCUAUUGCAUCCAUGUAAUUCUUGGGUGUCAUAAAUGAAUUGGAGGAAUAAUGCAGCAAAGGUUCCUAUCCUACUUCAAAUGUUUACCUUCUGCAAUUUAUUCCGCCAUAGUUUGCAAUUGGGGGUUAGAUGUCUUUGUUUCUGUUGCAGGUUUUGGAGGAACUUUGCUAAAGAUCAGUUUUGAUGGAGACUGUUAUUUCUGUAUAUAAUAGUGUUACUGAUUCUCUAUUUGGUUCUACUAGACUGCUAGUGAGUCUCUGAUUGAUUUCUUUCCAAACAUACUAGAAAAGCGAUAUCAGAUACCAUUGUUUAUGAUUUAUAUUCCGUUUAGAUAGUUAAGAAUAAUUAUAAGCACACAAAUAUCUUAUCUUAUUUUUCUUAAUAUGCAACUUUACAGUAUAUGUUGGGCUUCACUUAUGACUCCGGAUGAUCUAGAUACCACAUACAAGGUGCUGCCUCGUAGUUUGGCUGUUCAGGCUGGCUUAAUCGGAGAUGGGUGGGGAUGUUGGAGUUUUCUUCACAGUUGAAACCACCAUACAGGAUGAAGGAAUUUCCAGUUAUUGUAUUUUCAUCCCUUAUGCCAUAAACCUGAAAGAAGAUAACCGAGGUUGAGCUGAACAAAGACUUUUGGUUCAUGUUCUUACAUGCUAUGUAAAUUCAAAAGAGAAGGAUCAUACCGAUGAGACUCUUGCAAGUUGUGCAGUUGCUGCCUUAAGACUGCUGCCUCCCUUUGCCAAAACUAUGACGUCCAUCAUCCAUUAUAAGAUCCAACAUAUGCUUCCAUAUCUUCUGAAGAAACUUGAAUUAUUACUAGAUGAUGUGAAUUUUCUGAACAAGAAAACCUACCUGCCUAACUUAUUUCUGGGCCUCGCAAAUUAAAAGAACCAGAGAGAAUUGCCAAAAUGGGUGCAUUGUGAGAGGGAAUGAGGAGUUACUGAUAUAGUAUACCUUAACUUCUGAAGUUGGAUUCAACAAUUGUUGAUGCUCUUCUUUUGUCUUGUUGUAUCGCUCAAUAAUCGAUUUCAUGCUGCCAAAAAUAAAUAUAUACAUUAGGUUUUUGUACAGACAUAUCUAGCAUAAUUAAAGAAUUAAGCAAAAGAUGGUGGCUUAACUAAUAAAGACGCAGUGAAUAGAAAAGCAUAAUUUAUUGCAUUUUACUCAUCAUUCUCGUAAGGUUUCUAUGUGGAUCAAGUUAAGUUCUUUGUGAUUAAAAAUUUCAUAUCAAUAGGUCAGGAGAAAGAGUAUGUUAUAUAAGUCUUUUCAUACGUCAAUUAUGAGAAACCGAAAAAAUUUUGUUGUACGGUCUGUAGCCGAUUAACAUCCUGUGUCCUGGUAAAAUCUCAAAAUGAACAACUAACACUUGUUAUAACUAAUGAUGAGCCCUUGGACACUAAAAGUGAUAAACUGAUCUAUUGAACAGGCUGUUUAAUUGAAUACGGCUGCAUGCUAGUGUUAAAAAUCUUACGAACAAUAAAAAAUGAACCAACUGAUUACUUAUUUCUACAUUUACGGGCUGAAUUUCGUGGAUGAAAACAAUCUUUACAGAAAAAGAAGGAAAGGCUGCAUCUGAUAGACUAGUCUUUAAUGCUUUCUGCAAAGUAGAAACUGUUGAUUUUUUCAUGGAAGAUUUCCAUGUUGAUUAUUGUUCUUUUGAAACUUUUUAAUAUCUAUACGCAAAUAUGCUAAUUUUGUCCAUGUUUUUAAUGUCUGAUGUCUGCCACUUAUUUCUCUGCUGGCUUCUCAGGCUUCUCUCUUGUUCCUAGCUUAUCAUAUGGACUAUAUAAUAAGUUGUAAUUAAUUUCAUUUCUUCCUCUGGUCUGACCACAAGAAUGCUGUACUUGUAUGAACUUGUGAAUCUAUAUGUUCUUGAAAUUAUACGAGGUGAAAGUAUACAAUAUGAUAUGAAUUUUCUCUAGUUCGGGUGGUACCUUUUCACAACAAAUCACUUUUGAGCUUUUCCUCCAUUCUACUUGUAAACUGCAAAAUUUCUAUAUUCAAAACUCAAUCAAAAUUUUAGGAACCCGAGCUGACGUAAAAAUUUUACCAUUGACUAGUCUUGGCCGGGUAUGAAUGAUGAGAUGGGGCUGGUUAGGUAUUCGGCUUGAUUCUUGCCUGAGAAAGAGGGUAUAAGAUGAAAUUAGUCCUGCUUCAGAUUUCUUUUCCCUCAUGCUAUGUUUGAGAAGUUGCAUAGGGAGGAAAGAAACAUUUUGUUUGGAUGAGUGGAAAAUCAAAAGGGUGGAGCCCCAUCUUUCAUUUCCCUCUCAUUUUUUCUUCUUUUGUUUUAAAACAUAAAAGUUUUUCCUUCAAAAUAGAGAGGACAUAUAGUGGAAAAAUAUAAUAUAUCUUCUUUCCUUUCUUACUUUUAAACGUAAGAAAAUCAUUUCCACCCUUUAUUUUCCUCCCCUCCUUAUUUUCUACCAUUGUCAGUUCCCUGUUUUCAUCACACUGGUAGGCUGCAAAAUGUUCAUUCUAUCUUUUCUUGCCUUCAGAACUGAUGCUGAUGUUUGUCCGCGCGCAUAUCUAUGUGUUUGUGCAUGUGGGGUGCGUGUGUCAUGUGUAAGUGUAACCUGUGUAUAAAAGCAUAUCAUUUAUCAUCUUUGCUAAGUUGUGCGUGUAGUGUAACAUGUGUAUAAAAGCACAUCAUUUAUCAUCUUUGCUAAGUUGAGGAGUCUUGCAUGAAAUCGUGCGUUCUCCUAACUGGUACAAGAUAGUAGUGGUUUGCAGAAGGGAUGGAAAAGGGAGGUCAAUUUGAGUGGAUUCUGAACGACAGAUCUUAGACCAGUACGAUCUCUGUUGAUCAUAAUUCUAAUGCCAGGAAACAUGGAUUUGAAGGUUCGUUUUAUAUAUAUUUUUUUCUCUGUCAUACUAUGUCAUUAAUUACUUUGAUUUAGAAGGAUUUUUGUUAGUUUUGUGUUGAUUAGCAACAGAGUAAUGCUAUAUAUUUUCUGUAAAAAUUAAUUUCUUUUACUUGGUAUAAUCAUGUAUUUACGAUUAUGAUGGUUAAUGUAUAUUUCAAGCUUGGAAUGUUUA